CUCCCGCCGGCGACCGGCGCACGGGUGAGUAACACGUAUGAAACCUGCCCGUAGCAGGGGGAUAAGCGGAAGAAAUUCCGUCUAAUACCGCGUAACAACCCGAGGAGGCAUCUCCUCGGGUUUAAGGGAAGCGAUUCCGGCUACGGAUGGUCAUGCGUCGCAUUAGCUAGUUGGCGGGGUAACGGCCCACCAAGGCGACGAUGCGUAGGGGUUCUGAGAGGAAGGUCCCCCACACUGGUACUGAGACACGGACCAGACUCCUACGGGAGGCAGCAG
This 276-nucleotide ribosomal RNA is filed under the name uncultured bacterium. Its description in RNAcentral is "partial 16S ribosomal RNA". It matches the Rfam family "Bacterial small subunit ribosomal RNA", at positions 82 to 354 of the family's 1533-position model. The record is from RNAcentral.